UGUCGUGCGGUGACUCAGAACUGAGUCAGAGCGUCGUGUCCCGCCUACACCGCGGUGGCGGCCAAUGGCGCUUGUGCGGAAGCGGGCACAGUGGCGAACAGUCACGCAGCCCUCCACAGUCCCUCUGUGUGCGGUUUAAAAGGACGCCAGCUCCGGGUCCAUGUACGGAAUUCCUUCCCGUUGACCAUUAAAGGCAGAGUGCACACCUUGCAGACACAAAGACGUGUCUGCUGGAGUCAGGCUCCAUGACAGUUUUGGGCUGAUAUCAGACAGAGUUGUCAACUGAGAUCUAAACUGGGCAAUUUGGUAGAGUGGGCGAAUUUGAACACCUCAACCCAGACUAUGACAUUUUUGUUUGUUAGGAUGGUCGCUGUGUCAGAUUAGGCAAUCACAGAGUCAUACAAUGACGUGUCUGAGAGACGUGACAGAGUACAUGUUGGUUCCAGACCAGUCAGUAAAUGUGAAUCUUGUACUGGGGUGGCAGGAAAUCACUGCCACAUCGCAACAGCCUGCCAUCUUUCACGGCCUGCACAAUGUCACCGGGAACGAGGCGACAGGGACCGACUUCUGGGAACAAGAAUGAAAACAAACAACGGUGCAAAGAGGUGUGUGGAGUGCUGGCUGUCGUGUGUUCGUGAAAGACUAAAAAUAGAUAAAACAACUGUGACCUCUUCAGUUCCACCUAGCAGCACCAACCAACUCCAAUUGGUCAGCAUCAUGGAAAAUGCACAGUUUGUCAUACUAGACGAGUCUUUAUGUCAGGACAUCGUGCCAGCUGUCACUUGGCAAAUGAUGUGUUAGAGAUUUCAUGUUUGGGCAACAUUAAAAUGCAUGUUAUAAUGCAUAAA
Molecule: long non-coding RNA, 848 nt
Organism: Scatophagus argus
Lineage: Eukaryota; Metazoa; Chordata; Actinopteri; Scatophagidae
Exons: 2
Source: RefSeq, a predicted model, not a curated record